This 308-nucleotide unclassified non-coding RNA is filed under the name plant metagenome. RNAcentral's name for it is "partial contains 5.8S ribosomal RNA, internal transcribed spacer 2, and large subunit ribosomal RNA". The stretch from base 1 to 105 matches the Rfam family "5.8S ribosomal RNA", at positions 50 to 154 of the family's 154-position model. The record is from RNAcentral.
GAAAUGCGAUAAGUAGUGUGAAUUGCAGAAUUCAGUGAAUCAUCGAAUCUUUGAACGCACAUUGCGCCCCUUGGUAUUCCAUGGGGCAUGCCUGUUCGAGCGUCAUUUGUACCCUCAAGCUCUGCUUGGUGUUGGGUGUUUGUCCCGUCUCCGCGCGUGGACUCGCCCCAAAGUGAUUGGCAGCCGGCGUACUGUCCCGGAGCGCAGCACAUGUCGCGCAAACGAGUGCCUUGGUACGGCGGCGUCCAUAAGCCCCUCUCUCACGCUCUUGACCUCGGAUCAGGUAGGGAUACCCGCUGAACUUAAGC